GCCCUCGUGGCCUAAUGGAUAAGGCAUCGGUCUCCUAAACCGGGGAUUGCGGGUUCGAGUGCCGCCGAGGGUA
RNAcentral lists this transfer RNA (73 nucleotides) under Parasteatoda tepidariorum (common house spider). Its description in RNAcentral is "transfer RNA arginine (anticodon CCU)". It matches the Rfam family "tRNA". From Rfam's summary of the family: Transfer RNA (tRNA) molecules are approximately 80 nucleotides in length. The record is from RNAcentral. Lineage: Eukaryota; Metazoa; Arthropoda; Arachnida; Araneae; Theridiidae.